UGAUAAAUUGACACAAUUUAUUGAAUUUUGUGUCAUGGAUUAUGGAUAGGUGGUGAGUCAAUUGUUUCGGGUAAGAGACUGCACCCGAGGGCGGAAGAUAGGAGUAUUUCUACUCCUAAUACUGCUCAGGACAGUUUGUAGAUAGUCGAGUAGGGCGAGAACUAAGCUCGGAACUGCAUUAUA
Theobroma cacao (cacao) is the source of this 183-nucleotide non-coding RNA. Lineage: Eukaryota; Viridiplantae; Streptophyta; Magnoliopsida; Malvales; Malvaceae. The record is from RefSeq and is a predicted model, not a curated record.